GAAGAAGAAGAGCCGGAAGGAGGAAGAGGAAAACAAAGACGAGCACAGCGACAGCAGAAGCUGAACAGAAGUGUAACUACUGUGAGUGUUUCAUCAUCUGAAGCUACUGCGGAGUCUCUGAGAGCUUUUAUCAGCGAGCGGCUAACUGCUGCUGCUGCUGAAAUAUUGGGAGUGUUUGAACAAACUAUCGUCCAGUACGAGGGAGAGCUGGACCGUCAGCGCAAACUGCUGGAUCUGCUCCUGAAGCCUGAGAUCAAGCUACACAGAACAGAUCUCCCUCAACAACACAGUUGUCAAGUGGAGGAUGUUCUGGCUGACCAGCAGCUCUGUAACCAGAAGAAGAACUCCAUUCUGGACCAGGAGGAACCAGAACCUCCACAGGUUAAAGAGGAACAGCAGGAAGACUGCACCAGUCAUGAAGGAGAGCAGCAUGUACUGAAAGAGGAGACUGAUCCCUCUAUAGUAACUGCUGCUUAUGAUGGACCAGAACCAAACCAUGACAUGGUUCUCUCUCACAACGCUCCUCAAGUUCUCCCUCAACGACAUGACUGUAAGGAGGAAGAGAUCCUGUCUGACCAGCAGCUCUGUAACCAGGAAAAAAAAUCCGGUCUGGACCAUUUUGAACCGAUUGUCAUCCAAUACAAAGAAGAGAUCAACCAUCAGGACCCACUGCUGACACCUGAGAUAAAGUUACACAGAGCAGGUAUGUGA
Parambassis ranga (Indian glassy fish) is the source of this 711-nucleotide long non-coding RNA. The record is from Ensembl. NCBI's taxonomy places the organism in Eukaryota, Metazoa, Chordata, Actinopteri, Ambassidae.